GAUGAAGAACGUAGCGAAAUGCGAUAAGUAGUGUGAAUUGCAGAAUUCAGUGAAUCAUCGAGUCUUUGAACGCACAUUGCGCCCUCUGGUAUUCCGGAGGGCAUGCCUGUCCGAGCGUCAUUGCUGCCCUCAAGCACGGCUUGUGUGUUAGGCCCCGUCCUCCGCUCGCGGGGGACGGGCCUGAAAGGCAGCGGCGGCACCGCGUCCGGUCCUCGAGCGUAUGGGGCUUUGUCACCCGCUCUGUAGGCCCGGCCGGCGCCUGCCGAUCAACCACACUUUUAUUCAGGUUGACCUCGGAUCAGGUAGGGAUACCCGCUGAACUUAAGCAUAUCAAUAAGCGGAGGA
This 345-nucleotide unclassified non-coding RNA is filed under the name soil metagenome. RNAcentral describes it as "partial contains 5.8S ribosomal RNA, internal transcribed spacer 2, and large subunit ribosomal RNA". The stretch from base 1 to 120 matches the Rfam family "5.8S ribosomal RNA", at positions 35 to 154 of the family's 154-position model. The record is from RNAcentral.